GGUUGAUCCUGCCAGUUACAUAUGCUUGUCUUAAAUAUUAACCCAUGCAUGUGCCAGUUCAGUAUUGAACAGCGAAACUGCGAAUGGCUCAUUAAAACAGUUAUAGUUUAUUUGAUAAUUAAAGAUUACAUGGAUAACCGAGCUAAUUGUUGGGCUAAUACAUGCUUAAAAUUCCGUGUCCUGCGACCGGAACGUAUUUAUUAGAUAUUAGACCAAUCGCAGCAAUGUGAUUGAGAUGAUUCAAAGUAACUGAUCGAAUCGUAGCUUGCUACGAUAAAUCAUCUAAGUUU
Molecule: ribosomal RNA, 290 nt
Filed under: uncultured eukaryote
Lineage: Eukaryota
Description: partial 18S ribosomal RNA
Rfam family: Eukaryotic small subunit ribosomal RNA
Source: RNAcentral